CAUUAAGGGAAGCAGAUCUAGUGCAGAGGAAGACUUGAAGCAGAGCCAGGCAUUUGACUACACAUUGUGAGUCCAAAGACGACACAGCGUCCGGACACCAACCUAAUGCAAACUGGAACUUCAGGGAUUUCCGAGCUGAAUCCGCCUUUUAUGUACUUCCCAUUGCCUCCUAUUCCUCUUGCAUCUUGGCCAGCAGCUCCUUCACAACUCUCUAAUCCUCCUAUCUUCUUCCUGUAUUUCUCCUCCGUUGUCUAUGCUAUAUACUAAGCAGUUGCUGGAUGGGAGGGAAAUCAAUAUUCACAACUGUACCUCACUGUUCGAUACUGUCGCACCACUAGACUGUCCGCUGUAGCAAAUUGGAGGCCGAGAUUUCUUAGUUUUAUAUUUUGUUCCACCAGCUAGUGGGGGAAAGGCAGCUCGACACGCACUUCUCCAUAUACUCUUGUUGGGGAUUGGAUAAUGCUACUGAUCGAAGAAACUUUAUGGGAGAGAUAAACCUUGACCUCCAUAUGGAACUUCCAAAAAGAAGACUAGAGAACCGUUAGGUUAGAUCUUGGUUGGCUGCAACCAAUGCCCGAUAUAUUCUUCCCUUUUCCCACC
RNAcentral lists this long non-coding RNA (600 nucleotides) under Setaria viridis. RNAcentral describes it as "long non-coding RNA (SVIR_LNC008678)". The record is from RNAcentral. Lineage: Eukaryota; Viridiplantae; Streptophyta; Magnoliopsida; Poales; Poaceae.